RNAcentral lists this ribosomal RNA (374 nucleotides) under uncultured organism. Its description in RNAcentral is "partial 16S ribosomal RNA". It matches the Rfam family "Bacterial small subunit ribosomal RNA", at positions 527 to 896 of the family's 1533-position model. The record is from RNAcentral.
GUAGGUGGCAAGCGUUGUCCGGAAUUAUUGGGCGUAAAGCGCGCGCAGGCGGUUCUUUAAGUCUGAUGUGAAAGCCCACGGCUCAACCGUGGAGGGUCAUUGGAAACUGGAGAACUUGAGUACAGAAGAGGAAAGCGGAAUUCCACGUGUAGCGGUGAAAUGCGUAGAGAUGUGGAGGAACACCAGUGGCGAAGGCGGCUUUCUGGUCUGUAACUGACGCUGAGGCGCGAAAGCGUGGGGAGCAAACAGGGAUUAGAUACCCUGGUAGUCCACGCCGUAAACGAUGAGUGCUAAGUGUUAGGGGGGUUUCCGCCCCCUUAGUGCUGCAGCUAACGCAUUAAGCACUCCGCCUGGGGAGUACGACCGCAAGGUUG